This 406-nucleotide ribosomal RNA is filed under the name uncultured bacterium. Its description in RNAcentral is "partial 16S ribosomal RNA". It matches the Rfam family "Bacterial small subunit ribosomal RNA", at positions 30 to 526 of the family's 1533-position model. The record is from RNAcentral.
AUUGAACGCUGGCGGCAGGCCUAACACAUGCAAGUCGAACGAGUGGCGAACGGGUGAGUAAUGUCUGGGAACGUGCCGAGUGAUGGGGGAUAACCAAUCGAAAGGUUAGCUAAUACCGCAUAUCAUCAGAUCUGCCCAUAUGGGAUUAGCUAGUUGGUGGGGUAAAGGCCUACCAAGGCGACGAUCAGUAGCUGGUCUGCGAGGAUGAACAGCCACACUGGAACUGAGACACGGCCCAGACGCCUACGUGAGGCAGCUGUGGGGAAUUUUGGACAAUGGGCGCAAGCCUGAUCCAGCCAGGCCGCGUGUCUGAAGAAGGCCUUCGGGUUGUAAAGUACUUUUGGUAGGGAAGCGGUACCCGCAGAAUAAGCACCGGCUAACUACGUGCCAGCAGCCGCGGUAAUUC